GUGUCAGCCGCCGCGGUAAUACGAGUGGAGCGAGCGUUGUUCGGAAUCACUGGGCGUAAAGCGUGCGCAGGCGGUUAUGAAAGUCAGAAGUGAAAUCCCAGGGCUCAACCUUGGAAUUGCUUUUGAAACUUCAUGACUAGAGUACUGGAGAGGUUAGCGGAAUUCCGAGUGUAGAGGUGAAAUUCGCAGAUAUUCGGAGGAACACCAAUGGCGUAGGCAGCUAACUGGACAGUAACUGACGCUCAUGCACGAAAGCGUGGGGAUCAAACAGGAUUAGAUACCCCUGUAGUCC
RNAcentral lists this ribosomal RNA (292 nucleotides) under uncultured bacterium. RNAcentral describes it as "partial 16S ribosomal RNA". It matches the Rfam family "Bacterial small subunit ribosomal RNA", at positions 505 to 796 of the family's 1533-position model. The record is from RNAcentral.